Molecule: non-coding RNA, 86 nt
Filed under: unclassified sequences
Source: RNAcentral
UUUUCUUUGCCACCGGGUAAAGAGUCAAGGUGUUCCGCAACAUUCCGUUAGGUCAUAGAAGGAAUGUUCUGGAACACCUCUUUGUU